This 1121-nucleotide long non-coding RNA is filed under the name Chrysolophus pictus (golden pheasant). RNAcentral describes it as "lncRNA (ENSCPIG00010001197.1)". Lineage: Eukaryota; Metazoa; Chordata; Aves; Galliformes; Phasianidae. The record is from RNAcentral.
GCCUGUGUGUGAUGAGCUGCCCCAUUGCCCCCUUGGGGCUUGCAUGGGGACAUCCUGCAGCACCAGAUGUUAAUGGCGCUGCGUGGGGACAGCAAAACCUGGACUAAGAGACUGGGGUCCAUCAGCCAGGCGGAAGGCGAAGCGGCCGAGCUUCAGCUGCACACACAGCAGGAGGGAUGGGGAACGCGCCGGGAGCGAGAUGCAAACAGACCCAGGGAGGGGGAAAGCAGAGGCGUCGUGGAAGGGCUGGAAGACAAAAUGGUUUCCUUGGGAAAAGGCUGGUAAGCCUCAGCUGGAAAGGGACAGCGAGGGAGAGAUGAGAGAGCUGCUCCGGGUUGUGGAGAGAAGAGGAGCAUGGUUUGGGUAAAGCUGAGCUCACCCUGGCCCUUGACAUGGUAAUGAUGCAGACACAGACGUGUGAUAAGCCCUGCUCUGCACACACUUUAAAAUCUAAGUAGCUUAUGAAUAAGUAAUAAUCCCUAUUCCCAGUGCCAUAAUCUAUAUUUAAUUAAGAAAAUAACUAAAUGGCGGGAGUAAAGGGGGCUGUGUGGGGAAACGGUGACAGAAGCACUAUGAGAUAAGCUCUGGUGGGAACAGGGACAAAAGGCAAACUCAGCAUGGUCAUGGUGGCAUGGUGGGGCUGCUGGGCUGGGCACAGGGUGACCUGCAGGAGGAGGUCUGCCCCAGCGACUGCCAGGGUCAGCACUGAGCUGAAUGCUGGGCAGCUGCAUUGUUGGUGUGCUGUGUGUCUUCGUGUUCCCUCCGGCUCGAUGCUGGUGCUGAUGGUGGGCUGCAUGGACAGUGAUGUUCCAGCGUGCCCAAGCACUGUUUGACAGCACCCAAAUCACAGCCUUUGAUACUGUUACAACAUGCUGCUUAGUGCCUGUGAUAAAGCAUUCUUGGCAGGAUGCUCCAAAUGUCUUGCACUGACACAGGAAAGCCCUGCCAGAAUAACCCGUGCUGAGAUGGGAAGAGAGCAUUCUAGGUGAUGCCAAGGGCAGCUCUGAUCAACCCCCACUUUGGACAAGAGCAGAGUGUGGUGCCAAAGGUACCUCCAUCCAGGGACUCUGCAGGGUCCUUUCACCACCAAACAAAGCUCUUCAUAGCUAAAGCCCCACACC